Molecule: transfer RNA, 540 nt
Filed under: uncultured cyanobacterium
Lineage: Bacteria; Bacillati; Cyanobacteriota
Description: partial 16S-23S ribosomal RNA intergenic spacer
Rfam family: tRNA (bases 212-284)
Source: RNAcentral
CAGGGAGACAACAAAAUGUUUAAUAUUAUUAUUUUGUCACCUUAGGUCGAUCGAUAUCUCACGUUCUUAAUUUAUUAAGGAUUUCAUUUCCUAAGUUUUUCUAGGUCACACCCAUUAUUUUUCCUGGGCCAUUAGCUCAGGUGGUUAGAGCGCACCCCUGAUAAGGGUGAGGUCCCUGGUUCAAGUCCAGGAUGGCCCAUAUCUCUAUGUUGGGGGUAUAGCUCAGUUGGUAGAGCGCCUGCUUUGCAAGCAGGAUGUCAGCGGUUCGAGUCCGCUUACCUCCACUGAUUACCACCUCUUCCAUUAAAUAUAGAAGGGAAAUGUUUUGAGUCGUGAUCCUAUUCUGAACGAAUCUAGCUUCCUAAUGUAUUCAUUAAGAUGCUGGACUCAUUGAAUUAAUUUCAUUGUUUUCAGAGAACCUUGACAACUGCAUAGAUUAUUUUUAAAGACAAUAAGCAUCUUUAAUGAUGCAGAUUUAUUAUUUGUGCGAAUGCAUUAAUAACAAUUCCAUUAAGCUGAUGCUUCAAUUUUGAAGUUAUU